AACCCUGUCUUUAAAAAAAACAAACAAACUUUUUUUGGAGACCAGGAUCUCACUCUGUUGUCCAGGCUAGCCUUGAACUCUGGCCUCAAGCAAGUAGUCCCAGGUGCUCAGGAGGUUGAGACAGGAGGAUCAUUUCAGCUGGAGAAGUCAAGGCUACAGUGAGCCAUGAUCGUGCCACUGCACUUCAGCCUAGAUGACAAAGUAAGACCCUGUCUCAAAAAAAAAAAAAAAAAAUCUGAGGAUAGUUACAGAUUUCUUUGUUCCUCCUCCAUUCCCACUGCUUCAUUUGACUAAUCUUUUUUUUAUAAUUUUUUUUUUUGAGACAGAGUUUCACUCUGUCACCAGGCUGGAGUACAGAGGCAUGAUCUCAGCUCACUGCAACCUCCGCUUCCCAGGUUCAAGCAAUUCUCCUGCCUCAGCCUCCUGAGUGGCUGGAACUACAGGCACGUGCCACCUUGCCCAGCUAAAUUUGACUAGUCUUCAAAAACAAAAUCUGAAGUCAAAUAUAGCCCUUGAAUCAGUAAAAAAUGCUGUUGCCCUUUUAUAAUAGGGAGGAAGUUCCUGUGACAUACCUACUCCCUAAGGGAUUCCAGGAAAAUGGAAGAGCCAGAAAGGUAUACCUUGGACAGUGUCCAAGACAUACAUGCACAGGCUACACAUGUACAAGAGACAUGUGCAGAGUCCACGCCACUACAGGACACAAGUACAGACACAAGAGACAUUCCCUGUGGAGUUGCCUCUGUGGGCACAGAGGAGAAGCAAUGAGGACCCCUGGCAGGAUAACUGGAGAGUAUUUCCAGCCCCAGCAUUACCAGUGGACUCUGGGUUGGGGCAAGCCCAGGGAAGGGAAGCCCCUCGGCUUUUCAUCGGUCUCCAAGGUGUCUUUACCUUCCUAAGAGCAAAGGUCUGUUCACCUUGCUCUGGGGAUGUGGGAAGUUUCUACAAAUUUAGCCACUAUGCCCCAUGGCCUCCCUACUCCUGUCUUUGUGCUGCAUUUCCUUUCCCCAGAGUUUCUUAGCAAGUUCAUUUAAAAAAAAAAAAAAAAAAUCCAUCCCUGUCUUGGCUGAAUUCAGGGGUAAAGGGUUUUGUCCAGGAGAUGGUGAGGGGUGUUAGUGUAUACUGACCAUCUACUAUGAGUCAGCUUCUUUCACAAAUGAUCUCUCAAUUUUCUUUGUCUCUCUCUCUUUUUUUUUGGGGGGGGUGUUUUGAUUGUUUGUUUUUGAGGCAAGGUCUCCCUCUGUUGCUCAGGCUGGAGUGCAAUGGAACGAUCAUGGCUCACUGCACCGUAAAACUCCUGGGCUCAAGCGAUCCUCCCACCUCAGCCUCCCAAAUAGCUGAAACUACAGAUAUGUGCCCAGCUAAUUUUUAAUUUUUUUUUGUAGA
Non-coding RNA from Callithrix jacchus (white-tufted-ear marmoset), 1383 nucleotides. The record is from RefSeq and is a predicted model, not a curated record. Lineage: Eukaryota; Metazoa; Chordata; Mammalia; Primates; Cebidae.